This is an RNA transcript of Ziziphus jujuba (common jujube), 1124 nucleotides long. It is a transcript of the gene named mediator of RNA polymerase II transcription subunit 9, with no coding region annotated. The record is from RefSeq and is a predicted model, not a curated record. Lineage: Eukaryota; Viridiplantae; Streptophyta; Magnoliopsida; Rosales; Rhamnaceae. The transcript is spliced from 6 exons.
UUUUUAGGUUCCCGUGUGUGAGAAGUCUUUUGAGUAUAAACCCCAAUUUUUCAGUUUGUCAGAGAAGAAUUCCAGAAGCGGCGAGUGCGAGAGAGGAAUGGAGCACCCGUAUUCAGGAGGAGGAGGAGGAGGGAGCUGGACGAUGAUCCCGAAUGUGCAGACCCACAGUAACACCUCUACGCCUUCGAAUCAGGACCAUCUCUAUCUCCACCAUCACCAGCAGCAACAACAACAACAACAACAAUUUCAACAUCAACAAUUUCAGCAGCAACAGCAAUUUCAACAACAACAACAACAACAACAGCAACAGCAACAGCAACAGCAGCGUCUUCUUCUUCAGCAGCAACAACAACAGCAACAACAGCAGCAGCAGCAGCAUCACCACCAGUCACUCGCUUCCCAUUUCCACCUCUUCCAUUUUGUGGAGAAAUUAGCGGACACCAUUGAGAAUGGAACUAGGGAUCAGCAAUCAGAUGCUUUGAUCAAUGAUUUGAACAACCACUUUGAGAAGUGCCAGCAGCUGUUGAACUCCAUUUCCGGAUCCAUUAGCACUAAGGCUAUGACAGUUGAUGGACAAAAGCGGAAGCUGGAGGAAAGUGAACAAUUGUUAACCCAGAGGAGAGACCUGAUUUCCAAGUACAGAAAAUCUGUUGAAGAGCUGGUCAAGUCUGAGCCUUAGAUGCUUCUUGCCUUCCUGACAUGGAGUAAGGCAAUUACUCAAAUUUAAUUGAGCAGUACAAAAGGACUAACUAGUAGCAGGUUGAAUUCUUUUCCAUUUUCUCAAACUCUGUAGGAAUGGAGGGAGGCUUCUGAUUAGUUCUGAGCUCACGCCAUUUUAGCUACUCGAGAAAAUUAUUCAUCAAGGGUUUUGUCGUUGUACAUGUAUGCUUUUUAUACAUCUAAGAUUGUUAUUAUUUUUUUGUAACCUCUAGUGUCAUGUAUUACAGUUUGUCAGUUUCUUGAAAGGGAAUAUGUGUCUGAGCUAUGGAGUUCUUUCUCAUACUGCUUUGUCGAUGUUAAGGAUUUUUAGCUAUUUUGUUUAAGCAAAAUGUUGUUUUUCCUUUGAUACCGUUAUAUCACUUUAAUUCGGGCACUUAUAAUAAAUUAUAUAACAUAUUCCUAUA